Molecule: RNA transcript, 1228 nt
Organism: Gopherus flavomarginatus (Mexican gopher tortoise)
Lineage: Eukaryota; Metazoa; Chordata; Testudines; Testudinidae
Exons: 2
Source: RefSeq, a predicted model, not a curated record
GCUUAGCGAACAGGAGCUGCUAACAGGGAGUUUUGCAAGGGAGUUUGGAAGGGGAGUAGGAAGGGGGGGGUCCCUUGUCAGUCUCAUCUGUGACCCAUUUGUCCCCUGAACCCAUAACCUGAGCCACAUCGAAAACCUUUCUGUUUACAGCAGAGAGGAGCGGACAGGGAGCUGUAGACGGGAAUUUGCGAGAGUUUGACAGAGGGAGGCCUACAAUGGUGAGGAGGACCCGCAACACCUGUGCCAGCACUGCUUCUGUCUCCUCCACCUGCGCCUGUAGCCAGACAGAGCACCAAAGCAUGGAUGCUUUUACCCAGAUUCUGGUGUGGGCUUGCAAAGACUGUAAUUUGCAAUUUCCACUUACUGAUAUCCAGGCUGGGGGUGGCAUCCAAUGUGAAAGGUGCCUACUGGUGGAAUCUCUCAGGCAGCAGGUGGGAGAGCUACAGGAGGAGGUGGCCAGGCUGAGGAACAUCUAUGUCCAUGAGCAAUUCCUGGACAGUCUCCAUGUGGAGACAGCUGAUGGUGCUGUCCCAGUUGACAGGACUACUGACACUCCAGUGAAGGAGGAGAUGCCUCAGGGUGUAUCUGACACACCAGUGGAGGAGGAGGCUCAGGGUGGACACAGCCAGCUGGUUACUUCUAGCAGCAGGCAGUGCUCCACCCCUGCUGUGAACCCUCCUGCUGUGGUAAAAGAUAACCAUUAUGCUCUUCUUGAUACAGGAGAGAAGAAAUCACCCCCAACAGUUAAGGGGGUGAAGCCUCGUACCCCUAAGGCUGGGAGGUCUGCUGCCACCACUGAUAAGAAACGUAGGGUAGUGGUGGUUGGAGACUCUCUGCUGAGGGGGACGGAGACACCCAUCUGUCGCCCUGACCGUUCAUCCCGGGAGGUAUGCUGCCUGCCAGGGGCCCGUAUCUGAGAUGUUACAGAGGCUUUGUCGAGGAUUAUCCGGCCUUCUGACUACUAUCCCAUGCUACUCAUCCAUGUGGGCACAAAUGAUACUGCGAGGUAGGGGUCCGGGCAGAAACAGAUGCAUCGUGGAGGUGAAUGCCUAGCUGCGAAGAUGGUGUCACUAGGAGGGCUUUGGCUUCCUCGACCACGGGAUGCCGUUUGAGGAAGGACUGCUAGGAACAGAUGGCAUUCACCUUUCGAAGCGGGGAAAGGCCUUAUUUGCGCACAGACUGGCUAACCUAGUAAGGAGGGCUUUAAACUAGGUUCGACGGGGACAGG